AUGCCUUGUAGAGAUGAAAGAUCAUGUCAAAAGGUCAACAGAAUUGAAGUGAAACCACCUCAGUAUGAAAAACAUGUUGGUAGGCCAUCUAAGAAGAGAAGACAAAAUCAUGUUGAGAUGGAAGAAGGGGCAAAGAUGAGCAGACAUGGCGCUAUAUCCCAUUGUAGUGUGUGCAAUUCAACAGAGCACAACAAAAUAAAGUGCCCAAAUAAAGGUCAACAAGGGCAAUCACUCAGUGUUGAUAAGAGACCACAAACACAAGGAGGACAGAAGAGGAAGCUACAAGUGAAGAGAAACAUUCUUACACAGGUACAAUAA
RNAcentral lists this ribosomal RNA (318 nucleotides) under Triticum aestivum (bread wheat). Its description in RNAcentral is "partial small subunit ribosomal RNA". Lineage: Eukaryota; Viridiplantae; Streptophyta; Magnoliopsida; Poales; Poaceae. The record is from RNAcentral.